Molecule: ribosomal RNA, 252 nt
Filed under: uncultured bacterium
Lineage: Bacteria
Description: partial 16S ribosomal RNA
Rfam family: Bacterial small subunit ribosomal RNA
Source: RNAcentral
UACAGAGGUCUCAAGCGUUGUUCGGAUUCAUUGGGCGUAAAGGGUGCGUAGGCGGCGCGGUAAGUCGGGUGUGAAAUCUCGGAGCUUAACUCCGAAACUGCAUUCGAUACUGCCGUGCUUGAGGACUGGAGAGGAGACUGGAAUUUACGGUGUAGCGGUGAAAUGCGUAGAUAUCGUAAGGAAGACCAGUGGCGAAGGCGGGUCUCUGGACAGUUCCUGAGGCUGAGGCCCGAGGCCAGGGGAGCAAACGGG